UAUAAUAUCUUAUCCGCGUUACGCGCGGUUAAAAAAUCUAGUUAUUAUAAAGUAUACUAUUCUCUUCUUUUCCUUGCGCCACCUCAUCAAAUAAGGAAUCAUGAGGUUGACACGUGUCCAGUCAUAAGUAAGUUUCGUUGCUUUUCAUUUCCGUUUGUAUUGAUGAUGGGCUUUCACGAGUGUGUAAUGUUUGGGCUUAAAAUUAUGUUAUUUGGAUCGAAAAAUAAACUAAAGUUUACCGAUUAUUACCUUUGCCUUCCUCAAGAAUAGCGACCCUUGAAUUCGAAGGUUCUUCGUUUUCUUCGAGUUCAGAUUAGGUCAAGCUUCAAUAGAGUUUCUGAAAGGUAGUGUGAGACGAAUCGUUUUGAGAAAUCCCUGGGUUGAACUCUAUUCGUGUCGCUUCGUCUAAAAUUAUUCUCCUCUGAAACGUUAUGGAAUUUAUUGAUUAUAGAUCAGCUUCACUUAAAGGUUUUAUAGCCAUACACAAAAGAUUUCUCAAUUCUAAUCCACUCCCAGAGAUGAUGAAAAAAAAAACGAUCCAGAAGGGAACUGCAAAUACGUUUGCCCGAUUAGCUAUUAUCUGAACAUGUUUCAGGUUUACAAUUGACUCCAGAAGUUUACUGGAGAGAUUUGUCUCAGGGAUACAUUCAGCCACAAGAUUUGCCAACACCGGAAAGAUCUAACAAGUCUCUGAUUUUAUUUCAUUAGGGAUCAAACCUGUGAAAUUCCUAGAUAUUAAAAGUGACUGAAGUUAUAGAAUUUAGCUUUUAGGAUGUAUCGUCUGUAACAGAGCUUGAAAGUCUAUGAAUUGGAGUUGUAUCUCUGAGAAUUGGCCUCAAUUGCAUCUUCCCCAUUUUCAAGUAUUUGUAUCGACGAGGUUCCAGAAAGCUAACGCUUCUCAGGAGAUGUUUACCUGAGGUUUCCAUGAGAGGAGAGUUUAAAUUUCCUUAUGUAUAUGAAGAAACGUGGGAUGAAAAGAAACAGAGAAGGAGGAGGAGUCUUAAACCUUACAAGCACAACUACAGUUGCAAUGAACAAGGUAAUGAUCACACUUUGCUUCAUUUACUACGUUGAUGGUCCUUAAACAUCUUUUUGAUCAUCUUGCGCUGUCUUCACAUUUUUCAUCUAAUGUCACCCACAAAACAAGCUAAUCUGCUAAGUGAUCAAGGAUUAACAAAAGUUGUAUGCACAGCUGGACAGUAAACAGAAUGUGUACUCAUUCCUAACUUCAUAAUACUCUAAAAUCAUGAGAGGAUUGGUUGUGUCGUGUGUGUUGUGUGUUUAUAGAUAGAGAUGAUGUCAUAGGCAAUUGAUGAAACAUUUGACAAAGAAGAAGUUUGAAAAACUACAGAUCUAGCUAAUCAGGUGGUCGAUGAGAUUACAGUUCACACGUUGGCUUUUCUUAAGUAGUCAAGUUAAAAUUUGUCAAGACAAUAUUACAAAUGGUUUAAAACUAACUUUACCUGCUUCUUUCUCAACAGGUAUGUAUCUUCAUCUCUAAAACGCAGGAUGGCUACAAAAAAAUGACGUUCCCACUACAGUCAAUAAAAAGAGGCACAUCUUGGAAUUUACUGAAGUGGAUGAUCUAGAGAAGAGAUUGACUUAGCUUUGAUGAAUUUGAGAGAUUAACCUUCUUAUUUGUAGGUAUCACUCAUCAUGCAUCAAAUGAAAGAAGCUCCCUUAAUUAUUUUGAAAGUUGUGUUCUGUCAAAGUGUAAACAAAAUAUAUUUUAGAUUUUUUUUGUCUCGAUUCUAAGAUUUUUUUCGGCUGAUAUAAAAGUAUAUUAUAUAAUUUAUGUAUUUUUUAUAGGUAUUGUAAUUUUCCUAAUGAAAAACAAAGUAUUCAUAUUU
Molecule: long non-coding RNA, 1850 nt
Organism: Brassica napus (rape)
Lineage: Eukaryota; Viridiplantae; Streptophyta; Magnoliopsida; Brassicales; Brassicaceae
Exons: 4
Source: RefSeq, a predicted model, not a curated record